UUCGAUUUCAACCGUCUUUUUAAGCGGGCGGUAGAAGCGAUGCGGACGGAGUCGUUUCCCCUCUUCUUCCUCUUCCCUCGUCGAGGUCGACCAUCUCUCCUCCUGCGAUCCCCUGCCGAUCUUUAUUCCUCUCCCCGAUAUGGAUGAAGGUUGUUGUUCUGUUCAACUUAUAGAUGGAGACGGUGUGUUCAACGUCAGUGGCAUUGAACAUUUUAUGAAGACAAUGAAGCUGGUUUAGUGUGGACUGUCAUAUGCAGUGGUGUCUAUUAUGGGUCCACAAAGUAGUGGUAUUGCUUAUGAGUUCCUUGAACUAUUACUUUUUUGUUUUUGUUUUUUCUCUCUGUCCUAUUGCUUCCUUGUCUUGCGUUUCACUUCUUCGCUGAUGUUUGAUCAGUUCUUUUUUGACUUUGUUUUGAUGACUUAAUUAUAUUGAUAAUGUUUUCUGUUUUUAUUUC
Musa acuminata AAA Group (dessert banana) is the source of this 455-nucleotide long non-coding RNA. RefSeq lists it as uncharacterized. The record is from RefSeq and is a predicted model, not a curated record. Lineage: Eukaryota; Viridiplantae; Streptophyta; Magnoliopsida; Zingiberales; Musaceae. The transcript has 2 exons.